GGAUCUGCCUGUUGGUCGGGGAUAACAGUUGGAAACGACUGCUAAUACCGGAUGAGCCGAAAGGUAAAAGAUUUAUUGCCAACAGAAGAGCUCGCGCCUGAUUAGCUAGAUGGUGGGGUAAAAGCCUACCAUGGCGACGAUCAGUAGCUGGUCUGAGAGGAUGAGCAGCCACACUGGGACUGAGACACGGCCCACACUCCUACGGGAGGCAGCAGUGGGGAAUUUUCCGCAAUGGGCGAAAGCCUGACGGAGCAAUACCGCGUGAGGGAGGAAGGUUCUUGGAUCGUAAACCUCAAAACUUAUGGAAGAAACAAAUGACGGUGCCUAAUAUAAGCAUCGGCUAACUCCGUGCCAGCAGCCGCGGUAAUACGGAGGAUGCAAGCGUUAUCCGGAAUUAUUGGGCGUAAAGAGUCUGUAGGUGGCACUUCAAGUCUGCUGUCAAAGACCGAAGCUUAACUUCUGAAAGGCGGUGGAAACUGAAGAGCUACAGUAAAGCAGGGGUAGAGGGAAUUCCCACUGUAUCGGUGAAAUGCGUAUAGAUUGGGAAGAACACCAAUGGCGAAAGCGCUCUGCUGGGCUUUAACUGACACUGAGAGACCAAAGCUACGGUAGCCAAAGGGA
Molecule: ribosomal RNA, 621 nt
Filed under: uncultured cyanobacterium
Lineage: Bacteria; Bacillati; Cyanobacteriota
Description: bacterial SSU rRNA
Rfam family: Bacterial small subunit ribosomal RNA
Source: RNAcentral